AGUGAAAUACUCUAAAAUUCCAUUGAAUUUCCUGUGAAUCAAAGGGGGACUUAGGCAGGCUAAAUACAAUUCUGGCCUUUCACAAGUGGAUAUACACAUCCAAAGGUUAUAUGAGUGCAUACAAGCCAAAUAACAUAAUUAAGAUUAAAAAAAACAAACAAACCGAAAAAGGGGGAAAUUAGAAGACUAGCUUUUCAUCGUUGCUUCAAACUUCACUUCAGGGAGAUAUGGGGUUCGGGGAUUGGCCCAUACUUCCUCCACCUCGCCCUCUAGCUGCAGUCGCAGACACAACAGAAACUCAUGAAAGGGUUAAAACUGUCCACCUUAAUUUGGUUAAACCAUACUAGAUAAUAAGAGUAAUAGGUGAUGUUCAGUACUAUUCACUACUAAGGGGAAGUUAUAGUUACUAAAUACAUUUUCUUCUGUUGGCUAGUAUGGUUUCGCCAUCAAAAUUGCAAAUGUAUGGAUUGAAGCCUAUUUCAUCGUUCAUAAAAGAGCACCCGUAAUGCAGUAGUCAAAUAAGUUACAAUUUUGAUAAAACACAUAGCCACAUAGAAAAAGUAUCAAGAAAUUGUUUUUUUUUUGUAAAAUUUCUUAACAAGAAUUAGUGUUCAGUAACAUUCUGCUUUUUUCUUAAAGGAAGUAAAAAAAUGGUAAAAUGCCACUAUCCCGUGACUUAAGUGGAAUUUAUGGGUCCCUGAAUCAGAUGUGAGUGACUUUUAUAAUUACAAGUAGCUAAAUACCUGCUAGCAAUGGAUUUUCAAACAAGUACUAAAUUUGAAAAGAUGCUUAUAGCUUUUGAUCAAACAGUAGUCCACAGAUAAACUCUAUUGUAAAGGGUGAAUUUCCACACGCAAAUGAUUUCUCUAUUCUGCUACCUCCGUUCCGAAAUAACAUCAUUUUUCAGUUUUUUAUAUAAUGUUUUGAUAUUUUUAUUCUAACUAGAUGAUAAAACAUGAAUAAUACUUUAUGCGUGGCUAAUUUUUUUAAGUUUUUCUACAAAUUUUUCAAAUAAGAUAAAUGGUUAAACGUUGGACACGGGAAAAUGAAAAACAAAAUUAUAAUGGGAUGGAGGUAGUAAUUAACAUCAGAGUAAAAUAAAUAUUUGUGCAUGUAUGCAUGCAUCCAUAAAAAACUGUGGAACGUGUACCUCUUCGUUCUUACAGAUGAAAGAUAAAAUAUAAAAUAUUUUUUUAUAGUUAUUUAAUGAUAUAAAUGAUAAAAUUAAUCACUUUAAAGUUGGAAACUUACUUUACAAAUAUGCUACGAUGAAUUUUCAUAUAAAAUCUUUUUAAAACAAGUAUCAUUUAGUUGAGGCCUUGUUUAGUUCCCAAAAAUUUUUUUCAAAAACAUCAUAUCAAAUUUUUGGACAUCUAAAUAAAGCAUUAAACAUAGAUAAAAAAAACUAAAUGCACAGUUAUGGAAGAAAUCUUGAGACGAAUCUUUUGAGCCUAAUUAGCCCAUGAUUAGUCAUAAAUGCUACAGUAACCAACAUGUGCUAAUGACGGAUUAAUUAGGCUCAAAAUAUUCGUCUCGCUGUUUCUAGGCUAGCCGUGAAAUUUGUUUUUUUAUCCGUAUCCGAAAACCCCUUCCGAUAUCCGGUCAAACAUUUAACAUGACAUUUGUCACAAAAAUUUUCUCAAUCUAAACACCACCUAAAUACAAUGAGAAAUAUACCGCUGACAUAUGCGUGACGCCUCACAGAUGCCGUGAAAUUGAACGCCGACGAGCUGACAGGCGGCGGGUCGUCAGAACUCCGUCACACGUCAGCUCCCUGCGUUGUUGCGGAGCUCACCGGGCCUGGGACUGGGAGACAGCAGCGCAUCUGGGAAGAGGUCGCGCCCCCUCGUCGAUCGAUGACCACGGCAUCGUUCUCUUCGUCCGUGAGAUUGGAGAUCAGCGAGGUUCGGCUCGAGUCCGUCCAUCCGUCAUCCGUGUAACCCAGAAGUGAUCGUCCUGCGAGUUGCGACGGCCGGCGACGAGGAAGCCUUAGAUCGCGGAGGCCGUCGCGGCGUCGUGGUGAUCUGUUGAAUUUCCUCCUCAUUUUGUUUCGGCAACUCGGUUAAAUCUCUACCUGUCUCUGUUUGUGAAGAGAAGACAUUAAUGGGCUCGAUUGAUGAAGCCCAAUCUAGGUACCUGCCUAUUAACGGGCUCGAUUGAUGAUGCCCAGCGUAAGGCCCAUUAUAGUACAUUCUGGACACAGUAUUUCAGCCAAUUGUAAAUGGGCUAUAAUAUGUCCUAGUCCGAAUUCAGUCAAUUGUAACAAAUGUAGCAGUACUGAUGUCUACGCUACUCGUCUAUCCUCCCUCUCCCGGAAAGGGUAGCCCGCGAACGUUCGUGUGUAGGUGGGCCGGAUGAAUCUGUUGGCCAAAGAAAUAUUUAUGUAUAUAAUAUUUAUAUAUGUAUAAAGUGUAUAUCUAUAAUUUUCAUAUAUGUAAAGUCUAUACAUAAAAUAUUUAUAAUUAUUUAUACAUAGAAAGUUUUGUAUAUUUCAUAUUUAUGUAUACAAAAGUUUGCGUAAAUAUUUGACCAUUGUAUAAAGUUUGUACAUGAUUUCAAUUUUUCAAAUUCAUACAUAAAUUUUAUAUGUGUAAGGUUUAUACGUACAAAAUUAAUGCAUAUACAAAGUAUCAUGUACAAAGAAUAUAUGUGCAAAUUGCUAUGUGUAUUUUUCUAUAUUUCUAUGUAUAAUAUUUUUAUAUAUAAACUUUGUAGGUGUAUUUUUAUCCCUUUUUGCUUCAUCCUGCGGUAACGAAAAAAAAUCUCGCUGAACUCUACAAAUGAAAACAAAUGCACGUAAACUUGUUUUUAUUUUUCCAAUUCACUGUCGCUAGAAGUGAGCAAACGCCCGCGUAUCAGACCAGCCCUCGCUCUCCCCCACGCAUUCCCAUCAUAAGAAAUCUGGGGAAAAAAAUUGCUUUCCUACCCCAAUUAAUAUGAAAAAAGCAUAUGCUUUCCCCACACUCAGUGUAUUGCGUUCAUGGGGAAAACAAAAUAAGUUUAUUUUCUACCCAAUCUAUCUAUUGAGCUAAUUCUCAAUGAACCGAUAAAAUAAUCUAUAUUGAGUUUAUUCUGAAUAAACCGAUAAAAUAAUCAAUACUAUUAAUCUAUAUUGAGCUUAUUCUGAAUGAACCGAUAAAAUAAUCAAUACUAUCGUAACUCAUCAAUAUCAUGCACUAGUCUAAAGGAAAAGGACUCUUAAAGAAAAAAAUAGUGAUAUGUGCUAAUUUCGUUUUAUAAUUUAAUUUUUUAUUGCAAUGUUUAAUCAUUCGUCUUAUUUAAAAAUUUAGUACAAAUAUAAAAGAUGGGCAAGGCGUGCUUAAAGUUCUUUUGAGAAUAAAGUAAGUCACAGGCAAAAUAAAUGGUAAUUCUAUAAUUUUUUAAAUAAAACGAAUGGUUAAACGUUACUAUAAAAAAAUCAAACAUCUAUUAACGGAGCGAGUAUAUGUUUGCUAAAACAUGAGAAUAUACGAUUUACCUAGUUAAAUUGUUCCGUCGCAGAAAAUAUCCACAUACAGUAGCUAUCCUUUCCUAGCUUCAGCCCUGACGAUAGCGCCAAUGUUCUGUACACAUGUGCGAAUAAAAAUCUCAAACGGCGGUACCUCUCCGGCUCUCCCAACUCAACUCGGC
RNAcentral lists this long non-coding RNA (3630 nucleotides) under Oryza brachyantha (malo sina). Its description in RNAcentral is "long non-coding RNA (OBRA_LNC000738)". Lineage: Eukaryota; Viridiplantae; Streptophyta; Magnoliopsida; Poales; Poaceae. The record is from RNAcentral.